UUUUCCCCCUGUAACUCUCGCUCCUCUUAGACCCAUACCCCAAACCUCUCUGUAAGCCUCUCUCGAAACCCCAAACGACUCCCUCUGAAAGUCUCUCUCCUCUCAGACCUCAAUCCCCAAACCCCAAACAUCUUUCAGACUAAAACCCAAAUCCCAAUCUUCGAAACCCCAAACACAGACGGCUCCUCCAAGCUCCAUCAUAGACGGCGUCUCCAAGCUGUCCUCUGAUCUUCCUCUCGGCAUUCUACGACUAUCAAGUGUUGAGAUUGACGAUUCUUCAAAGCUUCAUCGGAGACGUUCUUCCGAUCUUCCUCUCCAUCUACGAUUGAAGAUGAAUGCAAAGAUGAAUUUCAUCAAUAUUUGAAACCAGAAUUUUUGUAUGGACACGAAGAAGAGUGAUUCUUGUUACUCAAAAAUUAAUACUCAAUUUCAAUGCAGUCAAGGUUUAAGGCCUUCUACAUGGUUUGCUUUCUUGACCCUUUUCUUUUUUAUAAUUGAUUAUGUUUUAAUUUUGUUGUGGGUUUGCUUUCAUAACAGUUGAUUACUUUUAUUUUCUCUUGGCUCUCCUUUGUCACGAGUUGUUCAGACUUAAAAUCCUUUAGUGGUACUGAAAAGGAGGCUCAAAGUCUAUUGUGUGUACUGAAAAGUCUAAGUAUCCCAAAUACAGACAUGAUACUCUUGCAGGGCUAGUCCAUAAAAAUUUGUUAUUCCUUUAGCCAAGUACUACAAGACAGUGUGUUGAAACCAAAUAUCUCUUGGCAUGCAUUUUCAUAUGAUGUUUGAAGCCGAAGAAUCUGGAACAAGAAGGUAUAUGGGCACAACCACAGAUAUUAAUUAUCUUGAUCCCGCUAGAUGGAAGAAUUCACAAUGGCGUAAUUUGUAGGUUGGUUGGGACGAAUCAAUUGCUGGGGAAAGGCAUAAUAGGGUCUCAAUCUAGGAGAUUGAACCUGUAAUUUUUAUUUGAGUAAAUGAUUCCUUUUUUGAGUUAUUAAUUAUUUACUUUGUAAAUCUAGUUAUAUUUUUUUAAAGUCAAGACGAUUAUGUUUAUAGACAAGACUGUGAUUUUUGUGUGAUUUUUGAGUCAAGUAGUAGGGUUAUAUUUGGCUAAAAUUUGUAUUAUUUGAUUUGUAAAUACUUUGUAUAAGUAU
Molecule: long non-coding RNA, 1148 nt
Organism: Humulus lupulus (European hop)
Lineage: Eukaryota; Viridiplantae; Streptophyta; Magnoliopsida; Rosales; Cannabaceae
Exons: 7
Source: RefSeq, a predicted model, not a curated record